Long non-coding RNA from Astyanax mexicanus (Mexican tetra), 193 nucleotides. RefSeq lists it as uncharacterized. NCBI's taxonomy places the organism in Eukaryota, Metazoa, Chordata, Actinopteri, Characiformes, Acestrorhamphidae. The record is from RefSeq and is a predicted model, not a curated record. The transcript is spliced from 2 exons.
GACAGACUGUGAUGCUGUGACAGACGAAAGUGUGCUAUAUCAUCCAUUUCAAACCUCGUCUCUCUCCUUCCCUUUCUGACCUGGACCUGGAUGCUUCAGUGCCCUGACUACAGCUAAACAGCAGAAUAGUUUAAUAAUGAGGAAAACUGACCAAAGUGGCAGGACAGUAUAAAUAAAGAUGUUAUUGACAUUU